RNAcentral lists this ribosomal RNA (245 nucleotides) under uncultured bacterium. RNAcentral's name for it is "partial small subunit ribosomal RNA". It matches the Rfam family "Bacterial small subunit ribosomal RNA", at positions 27 to 285 of the family's 1533-position model. The record is from RNAcentral.
GGAAUCAACGCUGGCGGCGUGCCUAACACAUGCAAGUCGAACGAGAAAGUGGAGCAAUCCAUGAGUAAAGUGGCGCACGGGUGAGUAACACGUGACUAACCUACCUUUUAGUGGGGGAUAACCUAGGGAAACCUGGGCUAAUACCGCAUAACACUUACGAGUCAAAGCAGCAAUGCGCUGAAAGAGGGGGUCGCGGCCGAUUAGCUAGUUGGCGGGGUAAUGGCCCACCAAGGCAGUGAUCGGUA